Molecule: ribosomal RNA, 1300 nt
Filed under: metagenome
Description: bacterial LSU rRNA
Rfam family: Bacterial large subunit ribosomal RNA
Source: RNAcentral
UACACGACCGUACCGCAAACCGGCACUGGUGCGCGAGAUGAGUAUUCUAAGGCGCUUGAGAGAACUCAGGAGAAGGAACUCGGCAAAUUGACACCGUAACUUCGGAAGAAGGUGUGCCUUUAGUAGGUGAACCUGUACAAGGGGAGCCCAAUGAGGUUGCAAAAAAUCGGUGGCUGCGACUGUUUAAUAAAAACACAGCACCCUGCAAACACGAAAGUGGACGUAUAGGGUGUGACGCCUGCCCGGUGCUGGAAGAUUAAAUGAUGGGGUGCAAGCUCUUGAUUGAAGUCCCAGUAAACGGCGGCCGUAACAAUAACGGUCCUAAGGUAGCGAAAUUCCUUGUCGGGUAAGUUCCGACCUGCACGAAUGGCGUAACGAUGGCCACACUGUCUCCUCCUGAGACUCAGCGAAGUUGAAAUGUUUGUGAUGAUGCAAUCUCCCCGCGGAAAGACGGAAAGACCCCAUGAACCUUUACUGUAGCUUUGUAUUGGACUUUGAACAGAUCUGUGUAGGAUAGGUGGGAGGCUUUGAAGUGUGGUCGCUAGAUCGCAUGGAGCCAACGUUGAAAUACCACCCUGGUGUGUUUGAGGUUCUAACCUAGGCCCGUAAUCCGGGUCGGGGACAGUGCAUGGUAGGCAGUUUGACUGGGGCGGUCUCCUCCCAAAGCGUAACGGAGGAGUUCGAAGGUACGCUAGGUACGGUCGGACAUCGUGCUAAUAGUGCAAUGGCAUAAGCGUGCUUAACUGCGAGACUGACAAGUCGAGCAGAUGCGAAAGCAGGACAUAGUGAUCCGGUGGUUCUGUAUGGAAGGGCCAUCGCUCAACGGAUAAAAGGUACUCUGGGGAUAACAGGCUGAUACCGCCCAAGAGUUCAUAUCGACGGCGGUGUUUGGCACCUCGAUGUCGGCUCAUCUCAUCCUGGGGCUGUAGCCGGUCCCAAGGGUAUGGCUGUUCGCCAUUUAAAGAGGUACGUGAGCUGGGUUUAAAACGUCGUGAGACAGUUUGGUCCCUAUCUUCCGUGGGCGCUGCAGAUCUGAGGAAGCCUGCUCCUAGUACGAGAGGACCGGAGUGGACACACCUCUGGUGUAUCGGUUGUCACGCCAGUGGCAUUGCCGAGUAGCUAUGUGUGGAAGAGAUAACCGCUGAAAGCAUCUAAGCGGGAAACUCGUUUCAGGAUGAGAUCUGCCGGGGCCUUGAGCCCCCUAAAGAGUCGUUCAAGACCAGGACGUUGAUAGGUCGGGUGUGGAAGCGCAGUAAUGCGUUAAGCUAACCGAUACUAAUUGCUCGUGCGGCUUGAUCAG